RNAcentral lists this small RNA (341 nucleotides) under Aotus nancymaae (Ma's night monkey). RNAcentral describes it as "Metazoan signal recognition particle RNA (ENSANAG00000015139.1)". The record is from RNAcentral. Lineage: Eukaryota; Metazoa; Chordata; Mammalia; Primates; Aotidae.
ACUGGGCAUGGUGGUGUGCACCGGUAGUCCCAGCUACUUGGGAGGCUGACGCAGGAGGAUUGCCUUAGUCCAGGAGCUCUCAGCUGUAGCACACUAUGCCGAUCAGGUGUUCACACUAAGUUACACAUCAAUAUGGCAACUUCCCAGGAGCAGGGGACCACCAGGUUGCCAAAGGAGGGGUGAAUCAGCCCAGGUCAGAACGGAGGUCAAAACUCCCAUGCUUAGGCCAGACACAGUAGCUCACACCUGUAAUCCCAGCACUUUAGGAGGUCGAGGAGGGCAGAUCACCUGAGGCCAGGAGUUCAAGACCAGCCUGGUCAACAUGGCAAAACCCCAUCUCU